This 500-nucleotide ribosomal RNA is filed under the name uncultured bacterium. Its description in RNAcentral is "partial 16S ribosomal RNA". It matches the Rfam family "Bacterial small subunit ribosomal RNA", at positions 30 to 523 of the family's 1533-position model. The record is from RNAcentral.
AUUGAACGCUGGCGGCAUGCCUUACACAUGCAAGACGAACGGCAGCACGGGCUUCGGUCUGGUGGCGAGUGGCGAACGGGUGAGUAAUGUAUCGGGACAUACCAUUGAGUGGGGGAUAACGUAGCGAAAGUUACGCUAAUACCGCAUAUUCUCUCCGGAGGAAAGCAGGGGACCGCAAGGCCUUGCGCUCUUUGAGCGGCCGAUAUCAGAUUAGCUAGUUGGUGGGGUAAAAGCUCACCAAGGCGACGAUCUGUAGCGGGUCUGAGAGGAUGGUCCGCCACACUGGAACUGAGACACGGUCCAGACUCCUACGGGAGGCAGCAGUGGGGAAUUUUGGACAAUGGGGGCAACCCUGAUCCAGCCACGCCGCGUGAGUGAAGAAGGCCUUCGGGUUGUAAAGCUCUUUCGGCCGGGAAAAAAUCGCAUGAGUUAAUACCUUGUGUGGAUGAUGGUACCGGAAUAAGAAGCACCGGCUAACUACGUGCCAGCCGCCGCGGUAA